GACGAACGCUGGCGGCGUGCCUAAUACAUGCAAGUUGAGCGCUGAAGGUUGGUACUUGUACCAACUGGAUGAGCAGCGAACGGGUGAGUAACGCGUGGGGAAUCUGCCUUUGAGCGGGGGACAACAUUUGGAAACGAAUGCUAAUACCGCAUAAAAACUUUAAACACAAGUUUUAAGUUUGAAAGAUGCAAUUGCAUCACUCAAAGAUGAUCCCGCGUUGUAUUAGCUAGUUGGUGAGGUAAAGGCUCACCAAGGCGAUGAUACAUAGCCGACCUGAGAGGGUGGACGGCCACAUUGGGACUGAGACACGGCCCAAACUCCUACGGGAGGCAGCAGGAGGGGAUCUUCGGCAAUGGACGAAAGUCUGACCGAGCAACGCCGCGUGAGUGAAGAAGGUUUUCGGAUCGUAAAACUCUGUUGGUAGAGAAGAACGUUGGUGGGAGUGGAAAGCUCAUCAAGUGACGGUAACUACCCAGAAAGGGACGGCUAACUACGUG
Molecule: ribosomal RNA, 497 nt
Filed under: uncultured bacterium
Lineage: Bacteria
Description: partial 16S ribosomal RNA
Rfam family: Bacterial small subunit ribosomal RNA
Source: RNAcentral